AAGCCCCGGCACCGCCACGGUGCUCCUUCAAAUUUGCAUUUUGCUGUGCUUACACCUCCUGGGCUC
This 66-nucleotide transfer RNA is filed under the name Phelsuma lineata (striped day gecko). RNAcentral's name for it is "tRNA-Cys". The record is from RNAcentral. Lineage: Eukaryota; Metazoa; Chordata; Lepidosauria; Squamata; Gekkonidae.